Molecule: ribosomal RNA, 594 nt
Filed under: uncultured bacterium
Lineage: Bacteria
Description: bacterial SSU rRNA
Rfam family: Bacterial small subunit ribosomal RNA
Source: RNAcentral
AGUUGGUAGGGUAACGGCCUACCAAGGCAAUGACGGGUAGGGGACCUGAGAGGGUGGUCCCCCACAAUGGAACUGAAACACGGUCCAUACACCUACGGGUGGCAGCAGUAGGGAAUAUUAGUAAUGGGCGGAAGCCUGAACUAGCAACACCGCGUGUGCGAAGAAGGCCUUCGGGUUGUAAAGCACUUUUAGAGAGGAUGAGGAAGGACGGUACUCUCUGAAUAAGUCUCGGCUAACUACGUGCCAGCAGCCGCGGUAACACGUAGGAGGCAAACGUUAUCCGGAUUUACUGGGCGUAAAGCGCAUGUAGGUGGUUCUGUAAGUAGGGCGUGAAAGCUCCCGGCUCAACUGGGAGAGGCCGUUCUAAACUACAGAGCUAGAGGAUGGUAGAGGGAGGUGGAAUUCCGGGUGUAGCGGUGGAAUGCGCAGAUAUCCGGAGGAACACCAGUGGCGAAAGCGGCCUCCUGGUCCAUUCCUGACACUCAGAUGCGAAAGCUAGGGUAGCAAACGGGAUUAGAGACCCCGGUAGUCCUAGCCCUAAACGAUGUUUACUUGGUGUCGGUGGCCUAAUCGCCAUCGGUAUCGAAGCUAACG